This is a long non-coding RNA of Herpailurus yagouaroundi (jaguarundi), 1322 nucleotides long. RefSeq lists it as uncharacterized. NCBI's taxonomy places the organism in Eukaryota, Metazoa, Chordata, Mammalia, Carnivora, Felidae. The transcript has 2 exons. The record is from RefSeq and is a predicted model, not a curated record.
CACCCACACAUCCAUCCUUCCCUGCACCUAUCCAGCCACCCAUUCGUCCUCCCUCCCUCCUUCCCAUCCAUCCAACAAAUAUUUAUGGGGUGCAUCACACCGACUAGGCACAGGGGUUAUACUGGUGAGCAUAGCCAGCACCCUCUGUGCCCUGAGGCAGCUCCCAGGGCAGUGCAGGAGGGGGAUGUUAAUCAAGGAAUCCCACGGUCACUAGCCAGAAACAGUGACCAGGGUUACAAAGAGAGGUCCUGGACGGGGUCGUUAUGGUGUUGUUUUAACAAGGGGACGCUCCCAGGUUGGGCAUUGGAAGACAAACAGGAAAUAGGCCCAGCAGGGGUUCCAAGCUGCGGGCGUAGCAUGUGCAAAGGUCCUGUGGUUCAUUCCAGGAACCGCGAGGAGGCUGGUGUUGCCAGUGCAAGGAGCGAUAGGGAGAGUGAUGCAAGACAGGCCUGCAGAGUUUGGCAGGGGCCAGUCCUCACGGGGAAGGGCUGCUUCUGCGCAGCCCUGACUCCUUCGGACCCUUUUUAUCCGGUGCAUUCUUACUCGUCUUUUAGGCCUCAGCUCAGGGUUUCCUCUCGUGAAAGCCUUUAUUGCCCUAUGCACACUGAGUGAGGCCUGGGAACUUUCUCCCAGUAAGAAAAAGCAUCCGGUAGUUGGAAGUAAGGCAAAGAAGGUGAAACUUCCUUUCCGUGCCAUACUCGGGCAUUGUUGAGAAAGGUCCCUGACCUUUGUGGAAUCAGUUGACCCCACAAAGAGCGCAGCUGAGCUGGGCUUUGCUAUUCUGUUUUUGGCAUCCAUCGUGUUUCGUAACUUCUCGAAAAUUACACACGGACACCUCGUCCAGAUGCUCUGGCCCCCGCACACCCCAUGAGCUCAUAAGGGUGUGGCCUAGCUUCCGUCGGCCUGGUUUCCCUGGAGGUUUGCAGGGCUAGGCUCACAGCCGGAGCCGGAGAAAUAAUGACUGGCUGCAUGAGUGAUCUUGUCUCUUCUCCUCUCCGAGCCUCCAUUGUCUUAUCCGUGAAAUGGACCUCACGGCACCCAUCUCCAGCGGAAGUAAACGUUCGGUGACGUGAAGAAUUCAGGUGCCCGGGUGGGCUCCUGUCUGGCACAUGAACCUGCAGGUGAAGGGUCCAGCCCAUUUCCCAGGAGAACAAACCGAGGCUCGGAGGUGAAGCCACCGGCUCAAGGUCACAGGCGAGGACUCUGCAGCCGCCCGCGCCUGUGUAGCCCUGGGUGGCGGGAGGAGGGCGUAGGCGUGGGGCGAGGCGGGGAGGCAGCCUCCGUAGGCAGAGCGAUGACAGAUAAAUGGCUUGUCCUGUAAA